CACUUUAAAAUUAGAACUCCAACACAAGAAAAAAUCUGGAAAGAGCACAAAUACAUAAAGGUUUAAUAACAUAGUCCUAAACAAUGAAUGGCUCAACCAGGAAUUUUAAAAUAACAUGGA
Mustela erminea (ermine) is the source of this 120-nucleotide long non-coding RNA. RefSeq lists it as uncharacterized. Lineage: Eukaryota; Metazoa; Chordata; Mammalia; Carnivora; Mustelidae. The transcript is spliced from 5 exons. The record is from RefSeq and is a predicted model, not a curated record.